AGCUGCGGCUUAGGUCACAACUGCAGCUCAGAUCUGAUCCCUGGCCCAGGAGCUCCAUAUGCGGUGGCGCAGCCAAGAAAACAAACAACAACAACAAAACAUGUAUUUUAAAAAUCCAGCUUAUGGACUUGUCAUUUAUUCUUCCCUGCCUCUAACCAACCAGUCCUGCCAUAUUUAUAGGACGGCCUCCUCGUGUCCCAGGCCCAGAUCCACAGUGGUGUGGACGGUAGGGUGGUCUGGCCAGCCAGGACAUCAGCAAGCCUGGUUUAGCGGCUUCUCAGAGGCCCCUCCCCACCAGCCCUGCCCCCACCCAGCACCAGCCCCACUCUGAGGCUCUGAUGCUGUGUCUUUAUUCAAGGAAGAGCACUUUCCCCCACUGGGCGGCCCAGACCCUGGGCUCCCUGGGAUUCCUCCCGCUGAAGCCGGGGACGUGCCCACGGGUCUGUUUAUAACCAUCCAUCUUUCCUCGACAGACCUGCCUCCUGACCCACCUUCUGGGCAGGAGGGAUCAUUUGUUUGUUGGUUUGGUUUCUGUUUUUUUAAGAAAGCAGGUAUUAGAGAAGUGAGAGCGGGACGUGAAAUCAGACUGCCUGGAUUCUCAUCUCAGCCCCUCCCCUGACAAGAUGAUGCCUUUGGGCAAGUUGUUCAACCAAACCCAGGGUCAGCCGCCUCCCCUGUGGAACGGAGGGUCCUGAGAGCACCCAUUUCAUCCCAUUGCUGGGAGCGUCGAAGGAGGUAACGCAGGCGAGGCAUUGGAGCCCCGCGCUUCGUGAGCAGUAAGUGCUCGCUGGGCGGCACCUGCCUUUACCGUAAUGAUGCCGCCUGUCGCAGCAGCCUUCCCGGCAGCCUCAGGGGGGCCCCACGUCUGCGAGCCACAGGCCCCGGGUAAGUCCCCACACCUGUUUCUGCACCGCCCGCUGCCUUUCCCACUGCAGGGCCUCUCGCUUCCCCCGGGGGCUGCUCGGCCCCGCCGCCUGCUCGCCUCUUCCUGGCCCGCCACCCGCCUCAGCCUCACCUCCUCUGCUCCAGGGCCAGCUUUGAGGGAGGCUGGCCCCUCAGUCCCUGCUGUGGUGCGAACACAGUAACUGGGUAUGAGAGGACCUGGGUUUGAGUCCUCUCUUUGCUAGUUCCUGUCAGGAAGCAUGUCUCUUUGCUUCAAGUAAAUCAGGAUGGGCUGAGGAGGGGUCCUGAGCCUGAGACUCUGCCCAGGACCGAAGGUGUGUGACAAGGGCUCCUGUGCAGGGUGUCCAGCCGCUGGGCGUCCGGCAGGCAGGAGGAACACCGAGCCAGGGGGCGGGGGGACUGGAGGCAGGCAGUCGCCCUGCCAUCUCCUGGACGGGGCUCAAGGGAGCCUGGAGAGCUCAGGGGGUCCCAGUGGGAGCAGGGCCUGGGGCGGGGGCCCUGAGGUUGAUGCCCAGACACAUGCCCUGGGCAGGUCUUGUGAGUGUGGGGAAGGUCGGGUGCCCCCCCAGGUGGCUGACAGGUCACCCUCUCCAGAAGCCACGUGGUGCUGAAGGCCACGGUGCAGGGGCUGACCGGCUGCCGUGGUCCACGCGGGCCCAGGCCCCCGCUCAGCCUGGGUUCGCUCCUUCCCAUGGGAGCCGUGUGGAGAGGGGUCUCGCUGGUCACCUACGGCUUUUCCUGCCUCCUGGGUAGACGGCACGGGCCAGUGGGAGCAAGGGCAGAGCUGCCUCGGCUCCAGGGGAGCCCCGGCGACAGAGGCUGGGCAGUGGGGUCCCGAGGAGGUGCUGGGCUGCUUAGACUCACUGUCCUGAGGCUCCUUUAACUCUUCCAGGAGGCCCUGGGCCUCUUCUUCUGAGACGUAAAUAAGGAGUAGUUUGGAAACAGCCAAGCAAAUGUGCUUAUAUUGUCAUUACUGUGCCUUGGGUAAGUACACAAGGAUGUCACUUAAAUUCCGCACACGGUAAAGCGAGAGAAUACACCGGAGAAUUCACAAAGGUCCCUGAAGUCAGAUAGCUUCUGAGGGGGAGUGGCGCGAGGAUGGGCCUGGCUUGGCGAGAGAAGCGUCUGCGAGGGAAGCGAGGGAAGGGAGGCAGUCACUUUGGCUCAGAACUGGUGCCACAACCGAGCUUUGUCGUUUCCUGAACUGGGGCCUCGGUGCUCAGCCGAUGUUCAGGGCUGGUGCUGCCAUGACAGGGGCCCCAGCCUGAGACCUCCCUGCUCUGGGCCAGUCGUGGGGGCGUCUGGGGAAAGCCUUUGGUCACGUUACGUGGACAGACCAAGUUCAAUUGUGGAGCAGGGAGCUGGUUCAAGGCUGCCCUUGGGGUUGAAUGAGCCGAGGCAAAGAAUUAGGCGUCACCUCAGAGGCACUUCCGUUACAUUGCAAGAGAUUCUGCAGGUUUGGAGGUUUCAUAUCCCCCAUACCUCUCAUCCUGUCAACACGUCAGCCCAAUUAUUAUCCCAUUUUUAACUGCACAGAAAAAUAGGAUUUGCCCAAGGGCACAUGGCCAAGUUGGGACUAGAACCCAGGUCCCGGAGACCAGGGCUGGCCCUUCUCCCCAGGGCCCUGGGAGGCUCAGUGUCCCGGACUCGGGCAGGAGCCAGGAUCAGACCGGGGCUGUGGCCAGUGGCUCAGAGGACAAGGACCUGACAGUUCCAAGCACAAAGGCAGGUGGCACAUGUCUUGCUGGGUUGAAACGGUGUCUGGCGGCAGCCUGCGGGAGACCUGUCCUUUCUGUUUAGAGUUUUAUGUGCUGAUCAGAAUUUCUGCAGAAGCAAGCAUUGCAUAGCCAGACCAAAUAAUCACGUUGUUUCUCUGGGGGUGGGUGGAAAUCUGUGCGCAGCCACGUCGGGGUCCUUCACCCACCAGCCGCUGCUUCUGGGGGCAGGUCUCUGGCCUCUCGCUUUCGGAGUCCCCUGAUGCCCUUUUCCUGAUGACGAUUUCACCAGCUCCGAUGUCCAGUUCUCGCAGCUCAGGCCCCUUUCUGGCAACCACAGCUGCCCUCCCCCGCCCUUCGAGGGUUUUCCAGCAAACCUUUUCCCUCAGUUCCUUGGCAGAAGAUGAGGGGAUCACAUGGCUGAGUGACCGGCGUUUUCUGAAUCAUGGAGUGGAAAGAAACACUACCCACAGAACCAGCACACAGGGCCUCUGUUGCAAGCCUGGGUAACAACUCGGCGGGGAAGUGAUUCAUCCGAGCCCACCCCACGUGCACACACGUGUUGGAGCGAGGGCAGUGCGGUGCUCGCCCUGCGCCGUGACUAAUGGGGCUUCUCAGACAGAGGGCAGCCCGGACCCCUCCCAGGCACAGCAGGGAGCCUGCUCCCCAGGGUCUGGGGCUGCCAGAGGGGUGUCUGGGGAGGUGUCAGGCAGCAGCUGGGGACAGAAAGUGAGGAGGGUGGAAGACCCGGGGGCAGGGGGAGAUGCGGGAAGAAACUAGGCAGACAGGCGAAGGGAGAGUAUGGGCAGCCCCUCCUGAAAACCAGGAGCUGGCUCUGACUCCUCCACUUCGCAUCCCUGGAGCCCACCCAGAGCCCACCAGCUGCAGGAGACACACGCUCACCCAGGUCAGAAGAGCCCGAGCGAAUAAUUCACCUGUUUGUGGGGUCCUUCUGAAGCCCGUCCCUGACUUCCUCCUCCCAGGAGCCCUAAGAGCACAUCCGCAAACCCAUAUGGCAGAGUCUGCACAGAGCCCCUCUUGUCCAGGCGCUGUCUUUCACAUACGUGAUCUAACUUCAUCAUCGCAGCAACAACGCAAAGAGCACCGAUGCCCUCUGUAAUACCAACGUGUUUCUAAGACUGCUGACGGUCCAGGCAGCCCUGGGGGCAUGUGUCGCCUGGGACUCACUGCUCUCCAGACCUCCUGGUUCUUUGUAAUGUGGACAGGCUUUCUCUAAGUGGCCAGGUGAGGAUGCAGGGUGGCACGGGGGAGAGGAACAGGCUACAAAGAGACUCGCACAGCCACAGCUCCCUUUUGGAUUGACAGACCUGUUCUCCCCGCCCCCACCAAGGCCCCCUAGCCCCCAGGCCCUGGGGCGGCUGUAAGGAACACCUAGGUCCCUUCAUUCCUCGUUCCAAACACCCCAGGGCCCGGCCUCCUUGCUGGAGGCCUGCCUGUUCUGGUUCAGCACCCCGUCUCUGCCAGCCAGGGUCCCAGAAACCCCCUCUGGGUGGCCUCCCUGAGUAUGCCAGGCUGCCGUGGGACGAUGACAGGGAGGAAGAGGGAAGGGACAGGUUUCUGAUUCUUCUCCCCUAGAAACCCUGCCUGGGGCCUUAGUGUUCAGAGGGAGGAAGAGAAGAGACUCCUGCCCCUGGGGAGCUCCCAGUCUGCUGGGGAGCACGGAGUGGGUGCAGACACACCCACAGACACACACCCACACACACCCACACACACACACCCACACACACACACACACACACACACACGAGAGCAGGUCCAAAAGAGAAACCCCGUAAAAGCCAGCCCAGACUCCUCUGCCCUGCAGAGCGACACACCUUGGUGACCAUAGAGCAAAGGCAGGGGUGGAGCCCAGGUGAGACAAUGAAAUGUUCUCCUGGGAGAAUCCUGGGGGGGAGAAGGGAAGACCCCUGAGGCUGGUCAUGUCACACGCCUCUGCCAGAAGGAGAAUGCCAGGCGGCCUAUGCUUGGCACCUAGAUGGGGGGGCACUUCCCCAGGUGUCCCCUCAGCUGGUGGUUCCUGCCGGGGGCAGGGGGUUGGGGUGAGGGAUGUGGGGGAGCAGGGCAGCCAGCCAGAAAAGACCCACAGGGAAGGGCAUCCACUGGGGGAGAAGCCAGCUGGUACCCAGCCCCAGACGGAGCAGAAGUUAAAUGAUGUUUGAAUGCCAGGAAGGAGAAGAAGGGAGGGACCAUUUAGCAGGAUCAUUCUCGUUACUGAGCGAGAAAAGACAUAAGACUGCCAUUAAUGAGGAUUCUUUUUAUUUUUUACUAGAUAAAUGAGUUUGAGCUUGUAAACAUCAAACUUUCUAGAAAGAAACCGUGACGUGGAUUCUGGAGAGAUGCAUUUCUGAAGCUUCUGGGUGAUCCCCUCACCCUCCCCGGAGCUGCAGUAAGCCACGACAAGGGCUUCCCAGAAGGGCCACCUCCCUCCCACACACAGAGCUGGGAGCCCAGCGAGCCUGCGAGGUGGGCAGGGUCCUGAGCUUCCUUCCGAGGCCCAGGUGUCUGUCAGGCAGGCCUGGCUCUCAGGCCUGGGAUGCACGGUGCUCCUCUCAGAAUCCCCUCUCCAGCUCAGCUCUGGGGCCUUCCAACCCUCACACCCUGUUCCUCCUGGUGCCGAGAAAGUCUGGUCCCCCUGGAGCCACCUGAGGCCACUCCCCAGCACUGCCUGGCCGGGACCCACAUCAUCCUCUGAGCCCGGACUCAGAGCUCCCGCGACUGAGAAGGUUCAACUGGGAGCUUGGUUUACCCGCUUUCUGUGCAGGCUGGUCAGGCCUCCACCUGUCCGACAGCGAACCGGGGGUCGGAGCAAACAGAGGGGUGCUGAGCACAGGAAGGCUGAGAAGUGCCUUGUGGGAAACACAGGUAUGCGGGGGAAGCUUUGUUCUCACGUGAAGCCAGUUUAUCCGCGUCUUCCGAGCCCUGCCGGGUCGGUGGGGUCUGUGCUUAGGGCUUAGGAGGAUGGGUGAACGAGAGCGCCUGAGGCCGGGCAUGUGUCCAGUCCUGUGUCAGCUCUAGGUGGGCGUGGGGGUCCCUACUGGCCCAGGGCCCUGCUGCAGAGCUGAGCGCUCAGCUUCCGGGCUACCAUGGGCCCAGCUCUGUGCUCAUCCUCUGAAAACUGUGCAAAUUCUGCAGAGCGGCUGGGGGCUCCUCCAGCCCAGGCCCAGGCCCUUGGAGAAUGUCCAGGACAGAGCAGGGCGAUAGCGGGGGGAGGCUUGUGGCUGCAGACUGUCCCUCCCCUGCCUGUCCUCAGAGAACACCCCCCCCCCGCCCCUCUUGGCUCAGGUGUGAGUUACGAUGCUGUUGGCUCCGAGCUCAACAUGAAUGAAUCAAUGGAUUAAAGUGUCUUUAAACAGAAACCCGCAUAAAAUGGGUUAUGUAUUGAUCAGCUGAUCAAGUUUGUGUCCAGGAGCUCAAAGGAGCCUAACCCUGUAUUUCCUCUAGGGACGAAGAUUCCAUGUUUGCUAAGUCAGGGUUCCUACGACUUUACAGACUAAUUACCAUGAAUAAUGAGGACCUACCAUCCAGGCGCUACACCUGGGCCCACCUGACUCAGCUGAGCAGGGCCCCCUGGGUCUGGCCGCUGGCCUCUGUGGUGACCAGACUCCACAGGUGGUCCUGGUGCGGGGCCCGAGUGGGAGCCGCGGCAGCGAUUCCUCAGAGCCCCCAUGUCAGGUCCACUGGGCCUUCUGGCUGCAGUGGGAGGGCAUGUGCAGCGCGAUGCAGUGAAAAGAAUGUAGGACUGCCUUGGUCAUGGGGAUGUGAAGACUGGGUGUGACCUCAGGCAAAUCCGCCAGCAUCCAGGGCCUCAGCUUCCCAUGAAGAUAAGACCUGUGCGUGGUGGGGCUUUGCUCUGCGAUUCAAGCAUGUUUUGUGGGCUGGGACACCAGGAGUCCACGGGUGUCUUUUUAGAAAGAACUCAUUGCAAGAGGCUCGGCCGAGAAUGCUGAGCACGGGUCUGGGCAGGGAAAGAGGAGGGAUCGGUGGGUGCUGCCCCUCAGCUCAGCCUCUGGCCUGGCCCCUGAGAGCUUGUGCCACGGAGCCCAGGAAUCUCGGUGAGACCCAGGGAGCCCAAGGCCACCAGCACGGAACUGGCACGUGGCCCUGGGCAGAGGCAGGAUGCUUCCCCUUCAGGGAGGGUGCCGCGCCCCACGGCUUUCUGUUUUUCUGGAUCAUUCUGUGGGAGCUGUACCUCCCUGGCAACACCCCCCACCUACUCCCACCUCAUGCUGUAGCUCCUCCUCCAGCUCUGGAGGCACUGAGGCAGCUGCGGCAGGUGUCACCUCAGAGAAGAGUCGGAGCCAAAAGGCAAGGACCCAGCUCCCAAGCUCAGGUAAGAUCCUUCCCAGGAGCUGGGGCAGGCAGAAAGCCCCAAGCGGUGAGUUCCUGUUUGUGCGACCAUUUUCUUAAAUUUAUUUUAUCGAAGUUUGGUUGAUAUACAGUGUUAUGUUAAUUUCUGCUGCACAGCAAAGUGGAUGCAGUUGUGGUAAGGAUUCUUUUUCAUAUGCCUUUCCAUUGUGGCUUAUCACAGGAUCAUUUAAUUCCCUGUGCUCUACAGUGGGACUCUGUUGUUUAUCCAUUCUGUUUAUAAUGGUUUGCAUCUGCUAAUCUCAAACUCCCCGUCCAUCUCUUCCCCACCCCGCCUCCCCCUUGGCAACCACAAGUCUCUUCUCCAUGUCUAUGAGGCUGUUCUGUUUUGUCGAUAAAGUUCAUUUGUGUCAUAUUUUAGAUUCUGCACAUAAAUGAUAUGAUAGGGUAUCUGUCCUUUGUGACUGACCUCACUUAGCAUAAUAAUCUCUAAUUCCAUCCAUGUUGCUGUAAAUGGCAUUGCUCUUUUUUAUGGCUUUAUAGUAUUUCAUUGUAUUUAUGUACCACAUCUUUAUGCAUUCAUGUGUUGAUGGGCGUUUAGGUUGUUUCAAGCCUUGGGUAUUGGAAACAGUGCUGCUACGAACAGAGCGAGGCGUGCGUCUGUUUGAAUUAGAGUCUUCGCUUGCUUGCCUGGGGUGGAACUGCUGGAUCAUAUGAUAGUUCCAUUUUUAGUUUUUAUGAGGAAGCUCCUUACUGUUUUCCACAGUGGCUGCACCAAGUUCCAU
Molecule: non-coding RNA, 7729 nt
Organism: Sus scrofa (pig)
Lineage: Eukaryota; Metazoa; Chordata; Mammalia; Artiodactyla; Suidae
Source: RefSeq, a predicted model, not a curated record